AUUGAACGCUGGCGGCAGGCCUAACACAUGCAAGUCGAGCGGAUGAAGGGAGCUUGCUCCUGGUUUCAGCGGCGGACGGGUGAGUAAUGCCUAGGAAUCUGCCUGGUAGUGGGGGAUAACGUCCGGAACCGGGCGCUAAUACCUCAUACGUCCUGAGUGAGAACGUGGGGGAUCUUCGGACCUCACGCUAUCAGAUGAGCCUAGGUCGGAUUAGCUAGUUGGUGGGGUAAAGGCCUACCAAGGCGACGAUCCGUAACUGGUCUGAGAGGUUGAUCAGUCACACUGGAACUGAGACACGGUCCAGACUCCUACGGGAGGCAGCAGUGGGGAAUAUUGGACCAUGGGCGAAAGCCUGAUCCAGCCAUGGCGCGUGUGUGAAGAAGGUCUUCGGAUUGUAAAGCACUUUAAGUUGGGAGGAAGGGCAGUAAGUUAAUACCUUGCUGUUUUGACGUUACCAACAGAAUAAGCACGGGCUAACUUCGUG
Molecule: ribosomal RNA, 484 nt
Filed under: uncultured bacterium
Lineage: Bacteria
Description: partial 16S ribosomal RNA
Rfam family: Bacterial small subunit ribosomal RNA
Source: RNAcentral